GGAAAUAUAGUUCAGAGGUAGAGCAUUUGCCUAGUAUGUAAGAGGUCCUAUGUUCAAUCCUUGGUAACUCCC
Molecule: transfer RNA, 72 nt
Filed under: Mus musculus (house mouse)
Lineage: Eukaryota; Metazoa; Chordata; Mammalia; Rodentia; Muridae
Also listed under: 1 other name
Rfam family: tRNA
About the family: Transfer RNA (tRNA) molecules are approximately 80 nucleotides in length. Their secondary structure includes four short double-helical elements and three loops (D, anti-codon, and T loops).
Source: Rfam by way of RNAcentral